UACGGAGGGUGCAAGCGUUAAUCGGAAUUACUGGGCGUAAAGCGUGCGUAGGCGGCUCGUUAAGUCAGAUGUGAAAGCCCUGGGCUCAACCUGGGAACUGCAUUUGAAACUGGCGAGCUAGAGUUGAGUAGAGGUAAGUGGAAUUUCAGGUGUAGCGGUGAAAUGCGUAGAUAUCUGAAGGAACACCAGUGGCGAAGGCGACUUACUGGACUCAAACUGACGCUGAGGUACGAAAGCGUGGGUAGCAAACAGGAUUAGAUACCCUGGUAGUCCACGCUGUAAACGAUGUCAACUAGCCGUUGGGUCUCCUUGGAGACAUAGUGGCGCAGCUAACGCAUUAAGUUGACCGCCUGGGGAGUACGGCCGCAAGGUUAAA
Molecule: ribosomal RNA, 376 nt
Filed under: uncultured bacterium
Lineage: Bacteria
Description: bacterial SSU rRNA
Rfam family: Bacterial small subunit ribosomal RNA
Source: RNAcentral